GGUCACGAGUGCCAGCGAAGGGCGUGCACCGCACGCCCCCACAGCCCCGGCUUGCUGGCCGGCAACCCUCCUCCGCGUGGGGUGCCCCGGGUGACGACCUGGUCCUGCGCCGUCCGGUGCGGGGCAAGCGCGGGGG
RNAcentral lists this non-coding RNA (136 nucleotides) under Actinotalea bogoriensis. RNAcentral's name for it is "Cellulomonas bogoriensis SAM-IV sequence". It matches the Rfam family "SAM (S-adenosyl methionine) riboswitch aptamer". From Rfam's summary of the family: SAM-IV is a mRNA element that regulates gene expression via direct sensing of S-adenosylmethionine (SAM or AdoMet). Lineage: Bacteria; Bacillati; Actinomycetota; Actinomycetes; Micrococcales; Cellulomonadaceae. The record is from RNAcentral. RNAcentral also lists the same sequence under 1 other name.